UCCCUGAUGGCUCAAUGGUAGAGAAUCUGCCUGCCAAUGCAGGAGACAUGGGUUUGAUUUCUGAUCUGGGAA
Molecule: transfer RNA, 72 nt
Filed under: Capra hircus (goat)
Lineage: Eukaryota; Metazoa; Chordata; Mammalia; Artiodactyla; Bovidae
Also listed under: 1 other name
Rfam family: tRNA
About the family: Transfer RNA (tRNA) molecules are approximately 80 nucleotides in length. Their secondary structure includes four short double-helical elements and three loops (D, anti-codon, and T loops). Further hydrogen bonds mediate the characteristic L-shaped molecular structure. tRNAs have two regions of fundamental functional importance: the anti-codon, which is responsible for specific mRNA codon recognition, and the 3' end, to which the tRNAs corresponding amino acid is attached (by aminoacyl-tRNA synthetases). tRNAs cope with the degeneracy of the genetic code in two manners: having more than one tRNA (with a specific anti-codon) for a particular amino acid; and 'wobble' base-pairing, i.e. permitting non-standard base-pairing at the 3rd anti-codon position.
Source: Rfam by way of RNAcentral